UACGGAGGGUGCAAGCGUUAUCCGGAUUUACUGGGUUUAAAGGGUGCGCAGGCGGAUAUGUAAGUCAAUGGUGAAAUCUUUGGGCUUAACCCGAAAAUUGCCAUUGAUACUAUAUAUCUUGAAUGCUGUGGAGGUAAGCGGAAUAUGUCAUGUAGCGGUGAAAUGCUUAGAGAUGACAUAGAACACCUAUUGCGAAGGCAGCUUACUACGCAGAUAUUGACGCUCAUGCACGAAAGCGUGGGUAGCAAACAGG
RNAcentral lists this ribosomal RNA (253 nucleotides) under uncultured bacterium. Its description in RNAcentral is "partial 16S ribosomal RNA". It matches the Rfam family "Bacterial small subunit ribosomal RNA", at positions 524 to 776 of the family's 1533-position model. The record is from RNAcentral.